This 484-nucleotide ribosomal RNA is filed under the name uncultured bacterium. RNAcentral's name for it is "partial 16S ribosomal RNA". It matches the Rfam family "Bacterial small subunit ribosomal RNA", at positions 30 to 507 of the family's 1533-position model. The record is from RNAcentral.
AUUGAACGCUGGCGGCAGGCCUAACACAUGCAAGUCGAGCGGACGAAGGGAGCUUGCUCCUGGCUUCAGCGGCGGACGGGUGAGUAAUGCCUAGGAAUCUGCCUGGUAGUGGGGGAUAACGUCCGGAAACGGGCGCUAAUACCGCAUACGUCCUGAGGGAGAAAGUGGGGGAUCUUCGGACCUCACGCUAUCAGAUGAGCCUAGGUCGGAUUAGCUAGGUGGUGGGGUAAAGGCCUACCAAGGCGACGAUCCGUAACUGGUCUGAGAGGAUGAUCAGUCACACUGGAACUGAGACACGGUCCAGACUCCUACGGGAGGCAGCAGUGGGGAAUAUUGGACAAUGGGCGAAAGCCUGAUCCAGCCAUGCCGCGUGUGUGAAGAAGGUCUUCGGAUUGUAAAGCACUUUAAGUUGGGAGGAAGGGCAGUAAGUUAAUACCUUGCUGUUUUGACGUUACCAACAGAAUAAGCACCGGCUAACUUCGUG